RNAcentral lists this ribosomal RNA (430 nucleotides) under Streptomyces chattanoogensis. Its description in RNAcentral is "bacterial SSU rRNA". It matches the Rfam family "Bacterial small subunit ribosomal RNA", at positions 118 to 561 of the family's 1533-position model. The record is from RNAcentral. Lineage: Bacteria; Bacillati; Actinomycetota; Actinomycetes; Kitasatosporales; Streptomycetaceae.
UGGGCAAUCUGCCCUUCACUCUGGGACAAGCCCUGGAAACGGGGUCUAAUACCGGAUACGACACGGGGAGGCAUCUCCUCCGUGUGGAAAGCUCCGGCGGUGAAGGAUGAGCCCGCGGCCUAUCAGCUUGUUGGUGGGGUGAUGGCCUACCAAGGCGACGACGGGUAGCCGGCCUGAGAGGGCGACCGGCCACACUGGGACUGAGACACGGCCCAGACUCCUACGGGAGGCAGCAGUGGGGAAUAUUGCACAAUGGGCGAAAGCCUGAUGCAGCGACGCCGCGUGAGGGAUGACGGCCUUCGGGUUGUAAACCUCUUUCAGCAGGGAAGAAGCGAGAGUGACGGUACCUGCAGAAGAAGCGCCGGCUAACUACGUGCCAGCAGCCGCGGUAAUACGUAGGGCGCAAGCGUUGUCCGGAAUUAUUGGGCGU